This 253-nucleotide ribosomal RNA is filed under the name uncultured bacterium. RNAcentral's name for it is "partial 16S ribosomal RNA". It matches the Rfam family "Bacterial small subunit ribosomal RNA", at positions 524 to 776 of the family's 1533-position model. The record is from RNAcentral.
UACGAAGGGGGCUAGCGUUGUUCGGAAUUACUGGGCGUAAAGCGCACGUAGGCGGACUAUUCAGUCAGGGGUGAAAUCCCGGGGCUCAACCCCGGAACUGCCUUUGAUACUGGUAGUCUCGAGUCCGGAAGAGGUGAGUGGAAUUCCGAGUGUAGAGGUGAAAUUCGUAGAUAUUCGGAGGAACACCAGUGGCGAAGGCGGCUCACUGGUCCGGUACUGACGCUGAGGUGCGAAAGCGUGGGGAGCAAACAGG